Molecule: ribosomal RNA, 255 nt
Filed under: uncultured bacterium
Lineage: Bacteria
Description: partial 16S ribosomal RNA
Rfam family: Bacterial small subunit ribosomal RNA
Source: RNAcentral
UACGUAGGCAGCGAGCGUUGUUCGGAGUUACUGGGCGUAAGGAGUGCGUAGGCGGUGCUCUAAGUUUGGUGUGAAAUCUCCCGGCUCAACUGGGAGGGUGCGCCGAAAACUGGAAUGCUCGAGUAUGGGAGAGGGUAAGCGGAAUUCCUGGUGUAGCGGUGAAAUGCGUAGAUAUCAGGGAGGAACACCUGCGGUGUAGACGGCUUACUGGACCAUGACUGACGCUGAGGCACGAAAGCGUGGGGAGCAAACAGG